AAGUCGUAACAAGGUUUCCGUAGGUGAACCUGCGGAAGGAUCAUUACAAAUAAAGCUGGUAGGAAGUGGGGUCUUGAUCUGUAAGUGGUAGAGCGAACAGUCCGGCUGCCUCCCGAAAUGUCUUACAUGUCCCCCACAGCCUGAAGGCCGAAUUACAACCCUUGAUUAUCUACACUUGUUGCUUUGGGGUGCUCAAGUGCCCCAGAGGACCCAGCUCUCUUUGCAUUAGUCGACGUCUGUAGUAUCUAUAAUAAUUAAAUUAAAU
Molecule: unclassified non-coding RNA, 265 nt
Filed under: plant metagenome
Description: partial contains small subunit ribosomal RNA and internal transcribed spacer 1
Rfam family: Eukaryotic small subunit ribosomal RNA (bases 1-46)
Source: RNAcentral